UAGAUGGAUGCUGCUUUAGGUUAAAAACUUAUAAAUACUCAGUACAUAUCAAACUACUGUAAUAAAGCAAUAGUGACACAUGAUAAAAACACUCUUACUCACACUUGUGUGUUGCAACAUUACUGUCAGAUCUAAUUUAGCCGGUGUUGUGCCAAAUUCUGCCCCCCUGCCAUAUUAUGCACCCCCUAGUAUUGGUAGGUUCAGGAGUAGGUGUGGGGGGAGGGUUAGGAUUAGAAAAUCAGUUAGCAACUUCAAUGAGACACAACACAACGGCACAACACCAGCACAGCAAAGUCUUUUAGUUUCAAUCUCUCUGAAAUUCCUGAGUCGGACUAUCUUGUUUAAAAAUGAAUCCGCGGUAAAAUGAAGUGAUGUACUGACGUGAUCUGGAACUUUAUCCACUCUUUUCUAAUGUUAGGAUCAGACGGAAGGAAAUGCAAAGACUUUGUUUUUUUUCACUGCUAAAGCCUAAAGUUUACUUCAGAUUUCUAAGGGGCAGUGCUGUGGAAGUAGGCGUUGAUCUUCUUCUGCAGAGGUGGGCUUUCGUCGCACUAUGACAUCAUAAUGUGACACAUUCUAAAAGGAGUUAUUUUAGCUGCUUGGCUUUAAUAUAAGAUGUUUUAGACUAACGAGAACGUUUUGAUCAACAACAUGAUCGUCAGCUUUUGUUCAUGUCAGAUCUAAUGCUGCUGUCAUUAAAAGAAAAGGACAAACUCAACAGGGGAAAAAUCAUGUUCAUUUUUCAUUUCAACUUUUCAUGAAUUUUCAAUGGGAGUACCAACUUCAAGCUACACAAGCAACAAAGGCUGGUCGUGAAGCACCAAACUGAGCAUUGACACGAAGCAGUGACUAGCAGUGGAAGUGCAGCCGCUGAUCCAGAUCUGCAGAUCUCCACCACCUCCAGUCAUUUAAUCGCUGUCAAUGUGAACGGGGCUUAAUACUGCUGAUGCAUCAUAAACUGCUUGGUUCUCAACCCUGUUCCUGGAGCCCCUGCAUUUCUGCAUUUAAUCAGUGUCUCCCUCAUCGAACACAGCUCAUCAGCUCAUUAGAAGAGAAUUUGCUAACACCA
Long non-coding RNA from Cyprinus carpio carpio, 1069 nucleotides. Lineage: Eukaryota; Metazoa; Chordata; Actinopteri; Cypriniformes; Cyprinidae. The record is from Ensembl.